Molecule: ribosomal RNA, 433 nt
Filed under: uncultured bacterium
Lineage: Bacteria
Description: partial 16S ribosomal RNA
Rfam family: Bacterial small subunit ribosomal RNA
Source: RNAcentral
AGCGAACGCUGGCGGCAGGCCUAACACAUGCAAGUCGAACGAACUCUUCGGAGUUAGUGGCGGACGGGUGAGUAACACGUGGGAACGUGCCUUUUGGUUCGGAAUAACUCAGGGAAACUUGUGCUAAUACCGAAUGUGCCCUUCGGGGGAAAGAUUUAUCGCCAUUAGAGCGGCCCGCGUCUGAUUAGCUAGUUGGUGAGGUAACGGCUCACCAAGGCGACGAUCAGUAGCUGGUCUGAGAGGAUGACCAGCCACACUGGGACUGAGACACGGCCCAGACUCCUACGGGAGGCAGCAGUGGGGAAUCUUGCGCAAUGGGCGAAAGCCUGACGCAGCCAUGCCGCGUGAAUGAUGAAGGUCUUAGGAUUGUAAAAUUCUUUCACCGGGGACGAUAAUGACGGCACCCGGAGAAGAAGCCCCGGCUAACUUCGUG